ACUAAAACAGACUAACCUUACCCCUCAAAAGCCUCCACUGCAUAUUUUUUCAGGUAGUUGACCAGUCGACAUCUCUUUCAAAGACUCGAACCAAAGGCAGCUCUCUUUGUACUUUUCAGCCUGUCUUGUUAAUAUCAUCAUCGCUACCCUGGCACAGAAUCACUUCUGUCCAUACUGACAACACCUCCAAUCCUCCAUCCACACAGUUUGUGUAUUUUGUCAGACAUUUUCAACAAAACAAGUAGAAAAUGAACAAAUAUUUU
Molecule: non-coding RNA, 263 nt
Organism: Paramuricea clavata
Lineage: Eukaryota; Metazoa; Cnidaria; Anthozoa; Malacalcyonacea; Plexauridae
Source: the annotation of a GenBank genome assembly